This 692-nucleotide ribosomal RNA is filed under the name uncultured bacterium. RNAcentral's name for it is "bacterial SSU rRNA". It matches the Rfam family "Bacterial small subunit ribosomal RNA", at positions 94 to 820 of the family's 1533-position model. The record is from RNAcentral.
AGUGGCGGACGGGUGAGUAACGCGUAAGAAUCUAACUUCAGGACGGGGACAACAGUGGGAAACGACUGCUAAUACCCGAUGUGCCGCAAGGUGAAACCUAAUUGGCCUGAAGAAGAGCUUGCGUCUGAUUAGCUAGUUGGUGGGGUAAGAGCCUACCAAGGCGACGAUCAGUAGCUGGUCUGAGAGGAUGAGCAGCCACACUGGGACUGAGACACGGCCCAGACUCCUACGGGAGGCAGCAGUGGGGAAUUUUCCGCGAUGGGCGAAAGCCUGACGGAGCAACGCCGCGUGAGGGAGGAAGGUCUUUGGAUUGUAAACCUCUUUUCUCAAGGAAGAAGUUCUGACGGUACUUGAGGAAUCAGCCUCGGCUAACUCCGUGCCAGCAGCCGCGGUAAUACGGGGGAGGCAAGCGUUAUCCGGAAUUAUUGGGCGUAAAGCGUCCGCAGGUGGUCAGCCAAGUCUGCUGUCAAAUCAGGUUGCUUAACGACCUAAAGGCGGUGGAAACUGGCAGACUAGAGAUCAGUAGGGGUAGCAGGAAUUCCCAGUGUAGCGGUGAAAUGCGUAGAGAUUGGGAAGAACAUCGGUGGCGAAAGCGUGCUACUGGGCUGUAUCUGACACUCAGGGACGAAAGCUAGGGGAGCGAAAGGGAUUAGAUACCCCUGUAGUCCUAGCCGUAAACGAUGGAUACUAGG